Molecule: unclassified non-coding RNA, 381 nt
Filed under: uncultured fungus
Lineage: Eukaryota; Fungi
Description: sequence contains ITS1
Source: RNAcentral
GCCGGACGGCUACACGAUCCUGCUGACGGGUCGCUCUCUCACCGCCGCGCCCUUCCUCAACGCGAACGUGACCUUCGAUCCGGUGAAAUCGUUUGCGCACACCGCGCAGCUCGUGACCUAUCAGUUCGUGCUGGUCGUCCACCCGAGCGUCGGCGUGAAGACCGUUUCGGAUUUCAUCGCCGCCGCACGCGCGACGCCCGGCAAGAUCAGUUACGCCGCGGCGCAGGGCGGCUUGAUGCCUUACAUCGCGGCGGUCCUGUUCAGAGCGUCGACGAAGGUCGACAUGCUCGAAGUACCGUACAAGACGGCCGGGCAGAUUUACAGCGAUCUUCUUACCGGCCAGGUUCAUGCCUACUUCGCGCCGCUCCCUCCGUCGCUGCC